Molecule: ribosomal RNA, 495 nt
Filed under: uncultured bacterium
Lineage: Bacteria
Description: partial 16S ribosomal RNA
Rfam family: Bacterial small subunit ribosomal RNA
Source: RNAcentral
GAUGAACGCUGGCGGCGUGCUUAACACAUGCAAGUCGAGCGAAGCACCUUGACGGAUUUCUUCGGGAUGAAGUAUUGGUGACUGAGCGGCGGACGGGUGAGUAACGCGUGGGUAACCUGCCUCAUACAGGGGGAUAACAGUUGGAAACGACUGCUAAUACCGCAUAAGCGCACAGUACCGCAUGGUACGGUGUGAAAAACUCCGGUGGUAUGAGAUGGACCCGCGUCUGAUUAGGUAGUUGGUGGGGUAACGGCCUACCAAGCCGACGAUCAGUAGCCGACCUGAGAGGGUGACCGGCCACAUUGGGACUGAGACACGGCCCAAACUCCUACGGGAGGCAGCAGUGGGGAAUAUUGCACAAUGGGGGAAACCCUGAUGCAGCGACGCCGCGUGAGCGAAGAAGUAUUUCGGUAUGUAAAGCUCUAUCAGCAGGGAAGAUAAUGACGGUACCUGACUAAGAAGCCCCGGCUAACUACGUGCCAGCCGCCGCGGUAA